Molecule: ribosomal RNA, 273 nt
Filed under: uncultured bacterium
Lineage: Bacteria
Description: partial 16S ribosomal RNA
Rfam family: Bacterial small subunit ribosomal RNA
Source: RNAcentral
UACGGAGGGUGCGAGCGUUGUCCGGAAUCACUGGGCGUAAAGGGCGCGUAGGCGGCCCGGUAAGUAGGGGGUGAAAUCUUGCGGCUUAACCGCAAGGCUGCCUUCUAAACUGCCAGGCUCGAGCACAGUAGAGGCAGGUGGAAUUCCCGGUGUAGCGGUGGAAUGCGUAGAGAUCGGGAAGAACAUCGGUGGCGAAGGCGGCCUGCUGGGCUGUUGCUGACGCUGAGGCGCGACAGCGUGGGGAGCAAACAGGAUUAGAAACCCGAGUAGUCC